AGCGGUAAAAGCUCAAAUUUGAAAUCUGGCUCUUUUAGAGUCCGAAUUGUAAUUUGUAGAAGAUGCUUCGGGUGUGGUUCCGGUCUAAGUUCCUUGGAACAGGACGUCAUAGAGGGUGAGAAUCCCGUAUGUGACUGGAUACCUAUGCUCAUGUGAAGCUCUUUCGACGAGUCGAGUUGUUUGGGAAUGCAGCUCAAAAUGGGAGGUAUAUUUCUUCUAAAGCUAAAUAUUGGCCAGAGACCGAUAGCGCACAAGUAGAGUGAUCGAAAGAUGAAAAGCACUUUGGAAAGAGAGUUAAACAGUACGUGAAAUUGUUGAAAGGGAAGCGCUUGCAAUCAGACUUGCACUUGGUGUUCAUCAGGGUCUCGUACCCUGUGUACUUCAUCAAGUUCAGGCCAGCAUCAGUUUGAGUGGUUAGAUAAAGGCUUAGAGAAUGUGGCCCUCUUCGGGGGGUGUUAUAGCUCUAGGUGCAAUG
This 475-nucleotide ribosomal RNA is filed under the name Botrytis cinerea. RNAcentral's name for it is "partial large subunit ribosomal RNA". It matches the Rfam family "Eukaryotic large subunit ribosomal RNA", at positions 97 to 575 of the family's 3401-position model. The record is from RNAcentral. Lineage: Eukaryota; Fungi; Ascomycota; Leotiomycetes; Helotiales; Sclerotiniaceae.